This is a long non-coding RNA of Chroicocephalus ridibundus (black-headed gull), 676 nucleotides long. RefSeq lists it as uncharacterized. Lineage: Eukaryota; Metazoa; Chordata; Aves; Charadriiformes; Laridae. The transcript is spliced from 4 exons. The record is from RefSeq and is a predicted model, not a curated record.
AAAACCGCGGCGGCGCUCCUGGGGCGGGACCUGCGGCGGCGGCCGGACGGGUGCUUAGGCGGCUGCUCCGACGACCUUUACGCGAGAGACGGAUGACCUGGUCUGACAGGAUUGCUUCACCAAGAAGUUUCCGAAAGUUGCAAAAUUUGGAGACCCCUUCCCUGCCCCCCAGUUUCCGGACUUUGGUACUGCUGCCCCACCAGGUCAAAUUUUGGGUGGCCGAAGCCUCCUUCGCCUGCCUGGCGCCUCUCCGUGCCCGGGCACGGCUGUCCCACAGCAGCAGGCACACACAUGAUGCUGCCUCUUUGCUGUACCGAUUGUUGUUGUUGUUAUUAUUAUUUUUUUUCCAGAUCCAUUCCCCGUGUGGAACAGAAGCCAAAUACACAGAAAAAGUAUUGAGGAGUCUUUCUCUUAGUAAGAGUCUGUUCAUAUUUCUUUGCUGAGCUCCACAAGAACAUAAAUUUCAGCAGCAUUCAGUAACAACGUGGAAGAAAAUCUACACGGCUGAAGAUUCCUUUGGCUGAUGUUACUGAAGGUUACCCAAAGCCCUGCUUCCACCUCUGCUUCCACCUGGUUUGAUAGGUUUGAGCAGAACUCUUUCUAAGAAAUCACUUCCAUAUCUACAAGGAAAAGCUUUCAGAAUAUGUUUUCUUGGAAAUAAACAAUGUCUACUAGC